Long non-coding RNA from Ixodes scapularis (black-legged tick), 345 nucleotides. RefSeq lists it as uncharacterized. The record is from RefSeq and is a predicted model, not a curated record. The transcript has 3 exons. NCBI's taxonomy places the organism in Eukaryota, Metazoa, Arthropoda, Arachnida, Ixodida, Ixodidae.
CGGCUCGUGGCCACGCCUACUUCCGUUACACUUCGCUCCGUGCAUUGGGGAUAGGGACGCCACCUCCUUGGUUCUUCUGUGAUGCAUCAGGGCCUCAUCAGCUCAUCGACGACUAAAUCGCCCACUUCAAGGUUCCAGUUGCACCAAGCAGGUGCACUCACCCUCAGGUUGCAAGCCGCUCUCUUCAAGUCGCAUGGGGUGCUUUAUGAGGUCCCAGCUGCACCAAGCAGGUGCACGCACCAUUUCAGAUGGCGAGCCGUUCUCUUUAAGCCACAUGGAGUGUUCCAUGAGGUGAGCGUGCAUUUGUAGUGGUCCUUGGGACAUGUUGUGCUGUAGGCUUAUGGC